AGAAUCAACGCUGGCGGCGUGCCUAACACAUGCAAGUCGAACGAGAAAGUGGAGCAAUCCAUGAGUAGAGUGGCGCACGGGUGAGUAACACGUGACUAACCUACCUUUUAGUGGGGGAUAACCUAGGGAAACCUGGGCUAAUACCGCAUAAUACCUACGGGUCAAAGCAGCAAUGCGCUGGAAGAGGGGGUCGCGGUCGAUUAGUUAGUUGGCAGGGUAAUGGCCUACCAAGACUGUGAUCGAUA
RNAcentral lists this ribosomal RNA (245 nucleotides) under uncultured bacterium. RNAcentral's name for it is "partial small subunit ribosomal RNA". It matches the Rfam family "Bacterial small subunit ribosomal RNA", at positions 26 to 285 of the family's 1533-position model. The record is from RNAcentral.